RNAcentral lists this ribosomal RNA (455 nucleotides) under uncultured bacterium. Its description in RNAcentral is "bacterial SSU rRNA". It matches the Rfam family "Bacterial small subunit ribosomal RNA", at positions 29 to 478 of the family's 1533-position model. The record is from RNAcentral.
AUUGAACGCUGGCGGCAUGCUUUACACAUGCAAGUCGAACGGCAGCGCGGGGGCAACCCUGGCGACGAGUGGCGAACGGGUGAGUAAUACAUCGGAACGUACCCGGUAGUGGGGGAUAGCUCGGCGAAAGCCGGAUUAAUACCGCAUACGACCUACGGGUGAAAGCGGGGGACCGCAAGGCCUCGCGCUAUUGGAGCGGCCGAUGGCAGAUUAGCUUGUUGGUGAGGUAAAGGCUUACCAAGGCGACGAUCUGUAGCUGGUCUGAGAGGACGACCAGCCACACUGGGACUGAGACACGGCCCAGACUCCUACGGGAGGCAGCAGUGGGGAAUUUUGGACAAUGGGCGAAAGCCUGAUCCAGCAAUGCCGCGUGUGUGAUGAAGGCCUUCGGGUUGUAAAGCACUUUUGGUAGGAACGAAACGGUCUGGGCUAAUACCCCGGACUAAUGACGGACC